CUGCUACCAUAGUAUUAUCUUUUGUUGUGUAUUUAACUCUGGUCAAUAUCUAUUACAUUAUAGGUUUUGUAACUAUAUCCCCCCCCCUUUUAUCCCUUGCAACGUACCCCACACUUCAAAAGUAUUCCAUAUAAAAAAAGAAGAUGUGAUAUGAUUGCAAAUGAGACAACUCUCCAAAUGAGACCAAAUGAGACAUAAAACAAUUAUAGGUCCCGUACGGGCUUCAACAAUGAGUAAAAUUCAUACUGCAUAGUCUUCAAUUCCCGAAAUGAAUAAUGUAAAACAAACAAAAACUCUAACGACCUGAUUAAUGUACAAAAUAAAUAAGAAAGAAACAAAUAUAGUAUAUAGAAACACUGCAUUACCGUUUCGUGACUUGAAACAGACACAUACAGAUAUUGGCGGGGUUUAACUUUUUUAAGGGUACGUCAACACUCCCCUAACCUCGGACUGGAACCGUGUGUACCAGUGCAACAAGCUUUAUACCAAACC
Molecule: long non-coding RNA, 492 nt
Filed under: Mytilus galloprovincialis (Mediterranean mussel)
Lineage: Eukaryota; Metazoa; Mollusca; Bivalvia; Mytilida; Mytilidae
Source: RNAcentral